ACUCAAAUGAAUUGACGGGGACCCGCACAAGCAGCGGAGCGUGUGGUUUAAUUCGAUGCUACACGAAGAACCUCACCCAGGUUUGACAUAUAAGUAGUAGUGAACCGAAAGGGGAACGACCCGCAAGGGAGCUUAUACAGGUGUUGCAUGGCUGUCGUCAGCUCGUGUCGUGAGAUGUUCGUUUAAGUACGCUAACGAGCGCAACCCUUACUGCCAGUUACAAGUGUCUGGCGGGACUGCCGGCCACAAGCCGGAGGAAGGCGAGGAUGACGUCAAGUCAGCAUGGCCUUUAUAUCUGGGGCUACACACACGCUACAAUGGGUCGGUACAAUGGGUCGCCAAGCCGCGAGGCGGAGCCAAUCCCACAAAACGAUCCUCAGUUCAGAUUGCAGGCUGCAACUCGCCUGCAUGAAGUCGGAGUUGCUAGUAAACGCGCGUCAGCUAUAGCGCGUUGAAUACGUUCCCGGGUCUUGUACACACCGCCCGU
RNAcentral lists this ribosomal RNA (487 nucleotides) under uncultured bacterium. RNAcentral describes it as "partial 16S ribosomal RNA". It matches the Rfam family "Bacterial small subunit ribosomal RNA", at positions 899 to 1397 of the family's 1533-position model. The record is from RNAcentral.